This 632-nucleotide ribosomal RNA is filed under the name uncultured Bacteroidota bacterium. RNAcentral's name for it is "bacterial SSU rRNA". It matches the Rfam family "Bacterial small subunit ribosomal RNA", at positions 8 to 635 of the family's 1533-position model. Lineage: Bacteria; Pseudomonadati; Bacteroidota. The record is from RNAcentral.
AGAGUUUGAUCAUGGCUCAGGAUGAACGCUAGCGGCAGGCCUAACACAUGCAAGUCGAGGGGUAACAUUGGUGCUUGCACCAGAUGACGACCGGCGCACGGGUGCGGAACGCGUAUGGAAUCUGCCUUUGUCAGGGGAAUAGCCUUUAGAAAUGAAGAUUAAUGCCCCAUAGUAUCUUGUUAUUGCAUGAUAGUAAGAUUAAAGAUUUAUCGGACAAAGAUGACCAUGCGUAUCAUUAGCUAGUUGGUAAGGUAACGGCUUACCAAGGCGACGAUGAUUAGGGGCCCUGAGAGGGGGAUCCCCCACACUGGUACUGAGACACGGACCAGACUCCUACGGGAGGCAGCAGUGAGGAAUAUUGGACAAUGGCCGCAAGGUUGAUCCAGCCAUGCCGCGUGCAGGAUGACUGCCCUAUGGGUUGUAAACUGCUUUUAUACAGGAAGAAACCUACUUACGUGUAAGUAGCUGACGGUACUGUAAGAAUAAGGACCGGCUAACUCCGUGCCAGCAGCCGCGGUAAUACGGAGGGUCCGAGCGUUAUCCGGAAUCAUUGGGUUUAAAGGGUCCGUAGGCGGGCUAUUAAGUCAGAGGUGAAAGUUUGUGGCUCAACCAUAAAAUUGCCUUUGAUACUG